This 448-nucleotide ribosomal RNA is filed under the name uncultured bacterium. Its description in RNAcentral is "bacterial SSU rRNA". It matches the Rfam family "Bacterial small subunit ribosomal RNA", at positions 28 to 458 of the family's 1533-position model. The record is from RNAcentral.
GAUGAACGCUGGCGGCGUGCUUAACACAUGCAAGUCGAGCGAAGCACUUUGGAAAGAUUCUUCGGAUGAUUUCCUUUGCGACUGAGCGGCGGACGGGUGAGUAACGCGUGGGUAACCUGCCUCAUACAGGGGGAUAACAGUUAGAAAUGACUGCUAAUACCGCAUAAGACCACGGUACCGCAUGGUACAGUGGUAAAAACUCCGGUGGUAUGAGAUGGACCCGCGUCUGAUUAGGUAGUUGGUGGGGUAACGGCCUACCAAGCCGACGAUCAGUAGCCGACCUGAGAGGGUGACCGGCCACAUUGGGACUGAGACACGGCCCAGACUCCUACGGGAGGCAGCAGUGGGGAAUAUUGCACAAUGGAGGAAACUCUGAUGCAGCGACGCCGCGUGAAGGAUGAAGUAUUUCGGUAUGUAAACUUCUAUCAGCAGGGAAGAAAAUGACGGU